CGAACGGGUGAGUAAUACAUCGGAACGUGCCCAGUCGUGGGGGAUAACUACUCGAAAGAGUAGCUAAUACCGCAUACGAUCUGAGGAUGAAAGCGGGGGGACCUUCGGGCCUCGCGCGAUUGGAGCGGCCGAUGGCAGAUUAGGUAGUUGGUGGGAUAAAAGCUUACCAAGCCGACGAUCUGUAGCUGGUCUGAGAGGACGACCAGCCACACUGGGACUGAGACACGGCCCAGACUCCUACGGGAGGCAGCAGGU
This 255-nucleotide ribosomal RNA is filed under the name uncultured Delftia sp. Its description in RNAcentral is "partial 16S ribosomal RNA". It matches the Rfam family "Bacterial small subunit ribosomal RNA", at positions 99 to 354 of the family's 1533-position model. Lineage: Bacteria; Pseudomonadati; Pseudomonadota; Betaproteobacteria; Burkholderiales; Comamonadaceae. The record is from RNAcentral.